CCUACGUGUGGCAGCAGUGGGGAAUAUUGGGCAAUGGGCGCAAGCCUGACCCAGCAAAGCCGCGUGAAGGAAGCAGGCUUUCGGGUUGUAAACUUCUUUUAAGGAGGACGAGCAGAAGACGGUACCCCUUGAAUAAGCCACGGCUAACUACGUGCCAGCAGCCGCGGUAAUACGUAGGUGGCAAGCGUUUUCCGGAUUUACUGGGUGUAAAGGGCGUGCAGCAGGAGAGACAAGUCAGAUGGGAAAUCCACGGGCUCAACCCGUGAACUGCAUUUGAAACUGUUUCCCUUGAGUGUCGGAGAGGUAAGCGGAAUUCCUUGUGUAGCGGUGAAAUGCGUAGAUAUAAGGAAGAACACCAGUGGCGAAGGCGGAAUACUGGACGAUAACUGACGGUGAGGCGCGAAAGCGUGGGGAGCAAACAGGAUUAGAUACCCCGGUAGUC
RNAcentral lists this ribosomal RNA (442 nucleotides) under uncultured bacterium. RNAcentral describes it as "partial 16S ribosomal RNA". It matches the Rfam family "Bacterial small subunit ribosomal RNA", at positions 338 to 795 of the family's 1533-position model. The record is from RNAcentral.